This 500-nucleotide ribosomal RNA is filed under the name uncultured Paraglomus. Its description in RNAcentral is "SSU rRNA". It matches the Rfam family "Eukaryotic small subunit ribosomal RNA", at positions 591 to 1092 of the family's 1831-position model. Lineage: Eukaryota; Fungi; Glomeromycota; Glomeromycetes; Paraglomerales; Paraglomeraceae. The record is from RNAcentral.
CCAAUAGCGUAUGCAAAAGUUGUUGCAGUUAAAAAGCUCGUAGUUGAAUUUCAGGCCUGGCUGGACGGUCCGCCCUUCGGGUGAGUACUGUCUGUGGUCGGGUCCUACCUUCUGGCGAAGCGUCAUGGCCUUAACCGGCCGUGGCGGGGAACCAGGACUUUUACUGUGAAAAAAUUAGAGUGUUCAAAGCAGGCAAUCGCUUGGAUACAUUAGCAUGGAAUAAUGGAAUAGGACAAUGGUUCUAUUUGUUGGUUUCUAGGACCGUUGUAAUGAUUAAUAGGGAUAGUUGGGGGCAUUAGUAUUCAAUUGUCAGAGGUGAAAUUCUUGGAUUUAUUGAAGACUAACUACUGCGAAAGCAUUUGCCAAGGAUGUUUUCAUUAAUCAAGAACGAAAGUUAGGGGAUCGAAGACGAUCAGAUACCGUCGUAGUCUUAACCAUAAACUAUGCCGACUAGGGAUCGGAUGAUGUUAAUUUUUUAAUGACUCAUUCGGCACCUUACG